GCUGGUGUAGUGGUAUACACCUGUAGUCUCAGCUACUCAGGAGGAUGAGGCAGGAGGAUUGCUUGAGCUCCAGAAUUCUGGGCUGUAGUGCACUAUGCCUAUCAGGUGUCCACAUUAAGUUUGGCAUCAAGUGAUGACCUUCUGGGAGCAAGGGACCACCACUUUUCCUAAGGAGUGGUGAACCGGCCCAGGUUGGAAAUGUAGCAGGUCAAAACUCCUGCACUGAUCAGUACUGGAAUGGCACCUGUGAAUACCCACUGCACUCCAGCCUGAACAACAUUGUGAGACCCUCUCUCUA
This is an unclassified non-coding RNA of Callithrix jacchus (white-tufted-ear marmoset), 298 nucleotides long. It matches the Rfam family "Metazoan signal recognition particle RNA". Rfam says of the family: The signal recognition particle (SRP) is a universally conserved ribonucleoprotein. It is involved in the co-translational targeting of proteins to membranes. Lineage: Eukaryota; Metazoa; Chordata; Mammalia; Primates; Cebidae. The record is from Ensembl.